This is a non-coding RNA of Pelobates cultripes (western spadefoot toad), 446 nucleotides long. The record is from the annotation of a GenBank genome assembly. Lineage: Eukaryota; Metazoa; Chordata; Amphibia; Anura; Pelobatidae.
GGUUUGUUAACGACACAAUUGUGUGAGUGCUAGGGGCUAAUAUCACAGACAACACAAUCAGGUGAAAUAAUAACAAUGUACGUACCUGUGAUUUAUAGGAGAUUAAACAAAACAAUCCCUUUAAGCUUUUAAUCGCUUUUUCUGUAUCUCAAACUGACUUUCUUGGAAUGAAGAAGAAGGUUUAUUGCUCUAGAACACAGCUAAAUUACCUUUCACUGCACUUCCGGGUGUGAACGACUUCUAAAGCCCUGUGACACUUAAUAUCUCCUUUUUCUAAAGAGCUACAGUGACAGUCACUUUCUCAACGAAUAAACAUUAAGAAUGUAUCCUCAAAAAAGUUUAAAGUGACCCAGCUUUAAAUGCUGUUGACACAUUGUACCUGCGGGCAGCCGUUCUAGGUCAUAACAGGUUUUCUGUUUGUUGAAAAAGCCUUUGUAAUAAAUUCC